RNAcentral lists this ribosomal RNA (468 nucleotides) under uncultured bacterium. RNAcentral describes it as "partial 16S ribosomal RNA". It matches the Rfam family "Bacterial small subunit ribosomal RNA", at positions 28 to 507 of the family's 1533-position model. The record is from RNAcentral.
GACGAACGCUGGCGGCGUGCUUAACACAUGCAAGUCGAACGGAAAGGCCCUGCUUUUGUGGGGUGCUCGAGUGGCGAACGGGUGAGUAACACGUGAGUAACCUGCCCUUGACUUUGGGAUAACUUCAGGAAACUGGGGCUAAUACCGGAUAGGAGCUCCUGCUGCAUGGUGGGGGUUGGAAAGGUUCGGCGGUUGGGGAUGGACUCGCGGCUUAUCAGCUUGUUGGUGGGGUAGUGGCUUACCAAGGCUUUGACGGGUAGCCGGCCUGAGAGGGUGACCGGCCACAUUGGGACUGAGAUACGGCCCAGACUCCUACGGGAGGAAGCAGUGGGGAAUAUUGCACAAUGGGCGGAAGCCUGAUGAAGCAACGCCGCGUGCGGGAUGACGGCCUUCGGGUUGUAACCCGCUUUCGCCUGUGACGAAGCGUGAGUGACGGUAAUGGGUAAAGAAGCACCGGCUAACUACGUG